AUUGAACGCUGGCGGCAGGCCUAACACAUGCAAGUCGAACGAGUGGCGGACGGGUGAGUAAUGUCUGGGACACUUCCCGAUGGAGGGGGACAACUACUGGAAACGGUAGCUAAUCCCGCAUACCAUCGGAUGUGCCCAGAUGGGAUUGGCUAGUAGGUGGGGUAACGGCUCACCUAGGCCACGAUCCCUAGCUGGUCUGAGCGGAUGACCAGCCACACUGGAACUGAGACACGGUCCAGACUCCUACGGGAGUCAGCAGUGGGGAAUAUUGCACAAUGGGGGCAAGCCUGAUGCAGCCAUGCCGCGUGUGUGAAGAAGGCCUUCGGGUUGUAAAGUACUUUCAGCGAGGAGGCGGUACUCGCAGAAGAAGCACCGGCUAACUCCGUGCCAGCAGCCGCGGUAAUUC
Molecule: ribosomal RNA, 406 nt
Filed under: uncultured bacterium
Lineage: Bacteria
Description: partial 16S ribosomal RNA
Rfam family: Bacterial small subunit ribosomal RNA
Source: RNAcentral